RNAcentral lists this transfer RNA (74 nucleotides) under Cordylochernes scorpioides. RNAcentral's name for it is "tRNA-Thr". The record is from RNAcentral. Lineage: Eukaryota; Metazoa; Arthropoda; Arachnida; Pseudoscorpiones; Chernetidae.
UGUCCAGUGGCGGAAUCGAACCCACAACGUUCCGCUUACCGGGCAGAUGCCAUGUCCACUAGGCUACCCUGGAC